UACGUAGGGGGCUAGCGUUGUCCGGAUUUAUUGGGCGUAAAGAGCGCGUAGGCGGCCAGGUAAGUCCGACGUGAAAUCUGGAGGCUCAACCUCCAGCGGUCGUUGGAUACUACUUGGCUAGAGUCCGGAAGAGGAGAGUGGAAUUCCUGGUGUAGCGGUGAAAUGCGCAGAUAUCAGGAAGAACACCGAUGGCGAAAGCAGCUCUCUGGGACGGUACUGACGCUGAGGCGCGAAAGCGUGGGGAGCGAACAGG
This 253-nucleotide ribosomal RNA is filed under the name uncultured bacterium. RNAcentral describes it as "partial 16S ribosomal RNA". It matches the Rfam family "Bacterial small subunit ribosomal RNA", at positions 524 to 776 of the family's 1533-position model. RNAcentral also lists the same sequence under 1 other name. The record is from RNAcentral.